CCUACGGGUGGCUGCAGUGGGGAAUAUUGGACAAUGGGCGAAAGCCUGAUCCAGCCAUGCCGCGUGUGUGAAGAAGGCCUUCGGGUUGUAAAGCACUUUUAGUGGGGAAGAAAGCCUUGGGGCUAAUACCCUCGAGGAAGGACAUCACCCACAGAAGAAGCACCGGCUAACUCCGUGCCAGCAGCCGCGGUAAUACGGAGGGUGCGAGCGUUAAUCGGAAUUACUGGGCGUAAAGCGCGCGUAGGCGGUCUGAUAAGCCGGUUGUGAAAGCCCCGGGCUCAACCUGGGAACGGCAUCCGGAACUGUCAGGCUAGAGUGCAGGAGAGGAAGGUAGAAUUCCCGGUGUAGCGGUGAAAUGCGUAGAGAUCGGGAGGAAUACCAGUGGCGAAGGCGGCCUUCUGGACUGACACUGACGCUGAGGUGCGAAAGCGUGGGUAGCAAACAGGAUUAGAUACCCGAGUAGUC
RNAcentral lists this ribosomal RNA (465 nucleotides) under Vreelandella stevensii. RNAcentral's name for it is "partial 16S ribosomal RNA". It matches the Rfam family "Bacterial small subunit ribosomal RNA", at positions 338 to 795 of the family's 1533-position model. Lineage: Bacteria; Pseudomonadati; Pseudomonadota; Gammaproteobacteria; Oceanospirillales; Halomonadaceae. The record is from RNAcentral.